Saccostrea cuccullata (small rock oyster) is the source of this 476-nucleotide long non-coding RNA. RefSeq lists it as uncharacterized. The transcript has 3 exons. The record is from RefSeq and is a predicted model, not a curated record. NCBI's taxonomy places the organism in Eukaryota, Metazoa, Mollusca, Bivalvia, Ostreida, Ostreidae.
UAAUGUACAUACAGUAUUAUUGUAUACAUGUAGAAGCAUUUUCUCGAGUCAAUAAUUUCUAAAAGAUCAUAUUAAUAUUUCAGGAAAGUUCAAGCCGAAUCUGCUACAGCAAACUCAAACAUAAAGUGGCAUACUUGUGUGACAGGAAACGAGGAAUAUGUAUGUCUGGACUGAGAAUCUAACGGAAGAUCCCUGUAUCACUAGUUAGAUCCCACGGAAAUAUAGGAUCCUUUACUAAUCAAGUGUCAUCUGCAGUGUUACAAAAGAAUAUUGGAUUUAUAUCAGUAAGAAAAAAGAACUACCAGAAGGAGACAGUAAAGAGGAACGGACAUAUCACACCAUAAGACAUGCUUCAAUAUCUGAAUAUACAGAAUGAAUUUUGCUCACUGCAGAUCCUUGUGAAAGAACACCUUUGUUGUAUUGAAAUAAAAACAAAGGAAUUGUCAGGAUUCUUGAACAUGAUGCAACUGGCUGCA